Molecule: long non-coding RNA, 517 nt
Filed under: Chrysolophus pictus (golden pheasant)
Lineage: Eukaryota; Metazoa; Chordata; Aves; Galliformes; Phasianidae
Description: lncRNA (ENSCPIG00010011839.1)
Source: RNAcentral
GGCAGAGAGGGGACUGGUCUGCUGGCAACGCUGGCACUUGGCGAACAGCUCAGCCUUCAUUCACAGGAUGCUUCAUUAACAGCGCACAGCCUUGGAGGGGUUCAUUCAGCUACCACAAAGCCUAACCAGGUGGCAGCCAAACCCAGAUAACUGAACUCACUGAAAUUGGCCUGCAAGACAGCAUCACUCAGUCAUCCCAGCCACGAGGACCCUAAACCUGUGCCAAAGCCCCCUGAGAAACCACAACCCCGGCUGCCAAUGCAGAGCCUUCAAGGCUUCCUCGAGAGCCAUUUCUUCCCUUGGCUCGGAAGCUGCUGAAACUCAGACCAAGUCAACCCAGCGUGCUCCCACAGGCUGAACCCGUUUCCUCUGUCGAGUUGCUGCAAUGGUUAGCAGGCAUGGAUGGAGACUCAUUUCUGUUGGCUGGAAUCUUUCUGUUUAAAUGGAAAAAGAAGAGAAGUUAGAAAACAAAACAGCAUGCAAUAAAGCACUACAAUGAAUAAAAUAACUGGAGUAC